Molecule: transfer RNA, 72 nt
Filed under: Bos taurus (domestic cattle)
Lineage: Eukaryota; Metazoa; Chordata; Mammalia; Artiodactyla; Bovidae
Also listed under: 2 other names
Rfam family: tRNA
About the family: Transfer RNA (tRNA) molecules are approximately 80 nucleotides in length.
Source: Rfam by way of RNAcentral
UCCCUUGUGGCUUAGCUGGUAGAGAAUCUGCCUGCAAUGCAGCAGACCUGGGUUCAAUCCCUUGGUUGGGAA